CAGUUAAGUUCUAGAGACGAUCGGGGAGGUCAACUUUGAGCUGCAGCACCCUAUGUGUUCACGCAAUCGGAACGCCCGAAAUAUCACGCCAAUAUGAGGGACGCCCGAAAUAUGAAGCCAAUAUGUGAUUUAUGCCUUUUCUGUUAGGAUUAUCUCCCUUCUCCACAGCUAAUUGCUUGAUGUGUUCAAUGGUCCAGUUGAAUUGGAUACAAGCAUGCUACAAAUCUAACAGUAAUUUAAUAAGUUCAUUCUUCGCAAACAAGAAACUCUACAUGCUGUGGAGAACCACUUCUACAACAGAUUAGGUUACUUGGUGGGAAGAAAUUGGCAUGGGCCAAAACUCAGUCUGUCUCACGUGAGUUUACACUAUUACAAAAAAUUACUACAGAUGUAGAACAAGCCUGCGGGAAUUUUGCGUCUUGACUAUCUGUCAUAUUUUAUAACUGUCAUACUUUGUAGUGCUUAUAACGGGG
This 473-nucleotide ribosomal RNA is filed under the name Triticum aestivum (bread wheat). RNAcentral's name for it is "partial small subunit ribosomal RNA". Lineage: Eukaryota; Viridiplantae; Streptophyta; Magnoliopsida; Poales; Poaceae. The record is from RNAcentral.